RNAcentral lists this ribosomal RNA (1439 nucleotides) under uncultured bacterium. Its description in RNAcentral is "bacterial SSU rRNA". It matches the Rfam family "Bacterial small subunit ribosomal RNA". The record is from RNAcentral.
AGGGUUUGAUCAUGGCUCAGAACGUACGCUGGCGGCACGCCUAACACAUGCAAGUCGAACGAAGUAGCAAUACUUAGUGGCAGACGGGUGAGUAACAUGUGGGUAUCUGCCCUUUGGCCUGGAAUAACACGAGGAAACUUGUGCUAAUACCGGAUAAGUCUUUACGGAGAAAGCUUUAUGCACCAUUGGAUGAGCCUGCACUUGAUUAGUUUGUUGGUGGGGUAAUGGCCUACCAAGACUGUGAUCAAUAGCUGAUUUGAGAGGAUGAUCAGCCACAUUGGGACUGAGACACGGCCCAAACUCCUACGGGAGGCAGCAGUGGGGAAUCUUGCACAAUGGAGGAAACUCUGAUGCAGCGAUGCCGCGUGAGUGAAGAAGGCCUUUGGGUUGUAAAGCUCUUUCGUCGGGGAAGAAAAUGACUGUACCCGAAUAAGAAGGUCCGGCUAACUUCGUGCCAGCAGCCGCGGUAAUACGAAGGGACCUAGCGUAGUUCGGAAUUACUGGGCUUAAAGAGUUCGUAGGUGGUUGAAAAAGUUGGUGGUGAAAUCCCAGAGCUUAACUCUGGAACUGCCAUCAAAACUUUUCAGCUAGAGUUUGAUAGAGGAAAGCAGAAUUUCUAGUGUAGAGGUGAAAUUCGUAGAUAUUAGAAAGAAUACCAAUUGCGAAGGCAGCUUUCUGGAUCAUUACUGGCACUGAGGAACGAAAGCAUGGGUAGCGAAGAGGAUUAGAUACCCUCGUAGUCCAUGCCGUAAACGAUGUGUGUUAGACGUUGGAAAUUUAUUUUCAGUGUCGCAGCGAAAGCGAUAAACACACCGCCUGGGGAGUACGACCGCAAGGUUAAAACUCAAAUGAAUUGACGGGGACCCGCACAAGUAGUGGAGCAUGUGGUUUAAUUCGAAGAUACGCGCAGAACCUUACCAACACUUGACAUGUUCGUCGCGACUUUAAGAGAUUAAAGUUUUCGGUUCGGCCGGACGAAACACAGGUGCUGCAUGGCUGUCGUCAGCUCGUGUCGUGAGAUGUUGGGUUAAGUCCCGCAACGAGCGCAACCCUCACUUUUAGUUGCCAUCAUUUAGUUGGGCACUCUGAAAGAACUGCCAGUGAUAAGCUGGAGGAAGGUGGGGAUGACGUCAAGUCCUCAUGGCCCUUACGUGUUGGGCUACACACGUGCUACAAUGGUAUCUACAACAGGAAGCAAAACGGCGACGUUAAGCAAAUCCUUAAAAGAUACCUCAGUUCGGAUUGCACUCUGCAACUCGAGUGCAUGAAGCUGGAAUUACUAGUAAUCGUGGAUCAGCGUGCCACGGUGAAUGCGUUCCCGGGUCUUGUACACACCGCCCGUCACACCAUGGGAGUUGGUUCUACCUUAAGGCAAGGUUUAAAACCCUUGACCACGGUAUAGUCAGCGACUGGGGUGAAGUCGUAACAAGGUAACCGUA